CUAAAUUAAUUUACGUACACUAAAAUGGAACAAUAUAGAGAAGAUUAGCGUGGCCUCUGGACAGACAUGACACGCCAAUUCGUGAAGGGAUCCAUAUUUUU
Biomphalaria glabrata is the source of this 101-nucleotide small nuclear RNA. Lineage: Eukaryota; Metazoa; Mollusca; Gastropoda; Planorbidae. The record is from RefSeq and is a predicted model, not a curated record.